GACCCAUAGGUUGAGGAGGCGGUGACCGUGGAGGAGGAGGAUGAGGUAGCCAACACUGUUUUUUUUAAUUAUAUUUAUCUUUUUUUUUUUUUUAUUGGGUUAGCCCCCAAAAUAUUGGCACAUAUAAAAAAAGACAACUCUGUUCCGCAGAGUAGCUGUUGACAUAAUAGUUGCGCAGGAACUUUGUUGACUCUAGAGAACCUCGGGCAAAUCGCACAUCCUCGUGGCAGCAACUUUGCAUGCGGAUAUCAUCCAUAUCAACUUUUCGAUGCCAGUUUCUACACCUACAAUGGUGACCAUGGGUAAUGGGGAAUCAUUCCAUACAGAGACCCUGAGAAACGGCUACCACAUGCAAGGAAGGCAGCAGGCGCGCAAAUGACCCACUCCCGACGCGGGAAGGUAGUGACGACAAAUAACAAUACAGGACUCUUUAGAGGCCCUGUAAUUGUAAUGAGUCCACUUGAAAUCCUUUAACUCUGAUCAAUUGGAGGGAAGUCUGGUGCAGAGCCACUGACCCGUGCGUGCUGCAGCUGAAACUCCACU
This 543-nucleotide ribosomal RNA is filed under the name Pelobates cultripes (western spadefoot toad). RNAcentral describes it as "SSU_rRNA_eukarya". It matches the Rfam family "Eukaryotic small subunit ribosomal RNA", at positions 172 to 590 of the family's 1831-position model. Lineage: Eukaryota; Metazoa; Chordata; Amphibia; Anura; Pelobatidae. The record is from RNAcentral.